UACGGAGGGGGCUAGCGUUGUUCGGAAUUACUGGGCGUAAAGCGCACGUAGGCGGCUUUGUAAGUUAGAGGUGAAAGCCCGGGGCUCAACUCCGGAAUUGCCUUUAAGACUGCAUCGCUAGAAUUGUGGAGAGGUAAGUGGAAUUCCGAGUGUAGAGGUGAAAUUCGUAGAUAUUCGGAAGAACACCGGUGGCGAAGGCGGCGACCUGGUCCUUGACUGACGCUGAGGCGCGAAAGCGUGGGGAGCAAACAGG
RNAcentral lists this ribosomal RNA (253 nucleotides) under uncultured bacterium. RNAcentral describes it as "partial 16S ribosomal RNA". It matches the Rfam family "Bacterial small subunit ribosomal RNA", at positions 524 to 776 of the family's 1533-position model. The record is from RNAcentral.